GACGAACGCUGGCGGCGUGCUUAACACAUGCAAGUCGAACGGAAAGGCCCUGCCUUUGUGGGGUCCUCGACUGGCGAACGGGUGAGUAACACUUGAGUAACCUGUCCCUGACUUUGGGAUAACUUCAGGAAACUUGGGCUAAUACCGGAUAGGAGCUCCUGCUUCAGGGUGGGGGUUGGUUAGUUUCGGCGGUUGGGGAUGGACUCGCGGCUUAUCAGCUUGUUGGUGUGGUAGUGGCUUACGAAGGCUUUGACGGGUAGCCGGCAUGAGAGGGUGACCGGCGACAUUGGAACUGAGAUACGGAACAGACUCCUACGGGAGGCAGAGGUGGGGGAUAUUGCACUAUGGGCGGAGGCCUGAUGCAGCAACGCCGAGUGCGGGAUGACGGCCAUCGGGUUGUAAACCGCAUUCGCCUGUAACGAAGCGUGAGUGACGGUAAUGGGUAAAAAAGCACCGGCUAACUACGUG
This 468-nucleotide ribosomal RNA is filed under the name uncultured bacterium. Its description in RNAcentral is "partial 16S ribosomal RNA". It matches the Rfam family "Bacterial small subunit ribosomal RNA", at positions 28 to 507 of the family's 1533-position model. The record is from RNAcentral.